AUGGUGUUUGCACCCCAGGCAGCCUCCUCGAUGGGAUCGUCUUCGCCGCCGCCGUUUCACUUCGGUCAUCUCAUCACCAUCAAGCUCUCCGCAGACAACUACAUCUUCUGGCGUGCGCAGGUUCUCCCGCUCUUGGGGAGUCACUACCUGCUAGGCUACGUCGACGGAUCGCUUCCCUGCCCACCCGCGCUGGUAGACAGCGUGCACGGUCCGGUCUACAAUCCGGCCCAUCGCGUCUGGACGGGGCAGGACCAGGCGAACCUCUCCUCCAUCCAGGGGUCGCUCUCGCCAGCAGUUGCCGGCCUUGUUGUCUUCGCGAAGACGUCUCAUGAGGCCUGGACCAUCCUUGAGCGCACCUUUGCAGCGCAGUCCCAGGCUCGUGUCUCUGCACUCCGUCGUCAGCUUGGAGAGUGUCAGAAGCUUGACUCCACGGCCACUGAGUUCUACAGCAAGGUCAAGGGCCUUGCCGACACAUUGGCCUCCAUUGGACAGCCCCUCACCGACUCCGAGUUCAACUCGUUUAUUGUCAAUGGUCUUGAUGAGGAGUAUGAUGCCUUAGUCAAGAUCAUCAACGAGCGGGGUAACUCGACACCCAUGUUGGCACACGAGGUUUUCUCUCGGCUUCUUCUCACUGAGCAACGGGUCGAGACUCGCCGCACCAGGGGCACUGGCUCUCUCUCGGCCAACGUCGCCACCAAGGGUGGCCGCUCUUCUUCAUCACCCCGGUCUCCCUUGGGGCUGCCACCGUCGCCCGCCUCGGCCCCCCCACCUACUGCGACCUUACCGGGGGCUGGCGGUCCACGUGUGUGUCAGCUUUGUGGCCGCGAUGGGCACUGGGCCUCCAAGUGUCAUAAGCGCUUCCAGCGAAGCUUCCUUGGUCUUGGCAAUGACGGCAAAGAUACACGCAACAAUGCCCGUCAGGUCGCCAUGGCUGAUCGUCCCGCGCCGCAGAAGCACCAGGGACACACUCAGUCCUACUCCAUCGAUCCACACUGGUACAUGGACUCUAGGGCGACAGAGCAUCUGACCAGCGAGAUGGGGAAGCUUCACACUCGUGAACCCUAUCAUGGCUCCGACAAGAUCCACACCGCCAAUGGAGCAGGUAUGCACAUCUCUCAUAUUGGUCAAGCAUCUCUUCUCACUAGACAUGCCAAUAGGAGUCUUCAGCUUCGCAAUGUUCUUCGCGUUCCAUCUGUGACCCGCAAUCUUCUUUCAGUUCCUAAACUCACACGUGAUAAUAAUGUGCUUUGUGAAUUUCACCCUUUUGAUCUUUUUAUUAAGGAUCGGGGCACGAGGGACAUUCUUCUUAGUGGGCGGUUGUGCCAGGGCCUCUACCGUCUGGAGCAUCCUGGCGUCGCUCGCGUUUUCAGUGGAGUUCGGGUCUCUCCGUCACAGUGGCAUGCUCGUCUUGGUCACCCGGCCACACCUAUUGUCCGUCAUAUUUUGCGUCGUCAUGAGCUUCCUAGUUUGUCUAGUAAUAAAGAUGUAGCAGUGUGUGAUGCUUGUCAGCAGGGGAAGAGUCAUCAACUUCCUUUUUCGGAGUCCAGUCGUGAGGUGAAACAUCCGUUAGAACUUGUGUUUUCAGAUGUAUGGGGUCCUGCUCAGACUUCUGUCAGUGGUCAUAAUUACUAUAUCAGUUUCGUUGAUGCUUAUAGUCGCUUUACCUGGCUUUACCUUAUUAAACGCAAAUCUGAUGUGUUUGCUAUUUUUGUUCAGUUUCAAAAACAUGUUGAACGUCUUCUCAAGCACAAAAUUGUUCAUGUCCAAUCGGACUGGGGGGGCGAGUAUCGCAACCUCAACUCCUUCUUUCAGUCGCUUGGGAUAGCUCAUCGUUUAGCAUGUCCACAUACACAUCAGCAGAAUGGUUCAGUCGAACGUAAGCAUUGUCAUAUUGUUGAAGCUGGUCUUACUCUUUUGGCCCAUGCAUCUGUUCCGUUUCGGUUUUGGAGUGAUGCUUUCACCACUGCAUGCUUUCUCAUCAACCGUACUCCUACUCGUGUUUUAAACAUGAAGACUCCCAUUGAGGUUCUCCUUAAUGAACAACCUGAUUAUACCUUUCUCAAGGUAUUUGGGUGUGCUUGCUGGCCGCAUCUUCGUCCAUAUAACAAGCGCAAGCUUGAGUUUCGUUCUAAGAAGUGUGUUUUCCUUGGCUAUAGCUCUCUUCAUAAAGGUUACAAAUGUCUUCAUGUUCCCACUAAUCGUGUCUAUAUAUCUCGGGACGUCGUGUUUGAUGAGCAUGUUUUUCCCUUUGCCAACCUUCCUGUGUCCACUGUCGAACCACCAUCCCUGCAUUCAUCCUCUGUUGCUUCUGACCAAUUUGAUGAUGUUGCAUACUCUCCUUUGCUGUUACCUAACCAUGGUGCAGGAACCGGACGUGGAGCUCGUUUGGAGCUGUUGGAGGAUUCACCAUCAUCAUCGUCGUCUUCUGGUGGGCACGUCGAUCGCCCUAUGUUGCAUGGCAUCGAUUCGCGUGCCCAUGCAUGGUCACCCGACGAGCCCGUCGCGCCGAGCAUCUCCACUGCUCGGUCUGCUACGCCAGUGAUCGCCGAGUCUCCAGCGGCUCGGCCUUUUUCACCAGCGGCCGCCGAGUCGCCCGUGGCUCGGCCCGUCACGCCGUCUUCGCCCGCGGCUCGGGUCCUCACGUCGCCUUCAUCAGCGGAUCGGCCCGCGACACCGGCCGUGCCACGGCCCACUAUGCCGAGCUCGCCAUCGGCCCGGUCUGGGAUGCCGGAGUCGCCAGCUGCUUCGUCUGCUCUGCCGGUUUCGCCGGUGGGCCGGCCUUCUUCGCCGACUGAGUCCGAGGCUACCGUGCCUGGCUCCUCGUCACCGGCUGACUCAUCAACGUCGCCGUCCUCCAGCCCGUUGCAGGCUGCUCCGUCGACCUCGGUGGUUCCUGUGUCUCGACCACAUACACGCAGUCGCAGUGGCAUUUUCAAACCUAAGGAACGUACGGAUGGUACGGUUGCUUGGUUGGUUGCUUGUUUGGCUGCUGCUGUUGCGGAUCCAUCUUCUGAGCCUCGCUCAUAUCAGGCUGCCCUGCGCAUUCCACAUUGGCGAGAGGCUAUGGAGCAGGAGUUUCAUGCUCUUCUUCGUAACAAGACAUGGACUCUCGUUCCUCCACCACCACGGGUAAAUGUUAUUGACUCAAAAUGGGUAUUCAAAGUGAAGAAGCAUUCGGAUGGAUCUAUUGAGCGUUACAAAGCGCGACUUGUUGCUCGCGGUUUUCGGCAGCGUCAUGGUCUUGACUAUGAGGACACCUUCAGUCCUGUCGUCAAGCCUACCACUAUUCGGCUUCUUCUCUCCAUUGCUGUUUCUCGUGGUUGGUCACUUCGUCAACUUGAUGUGCAGAAUGCCUUUCUACAUGGAUUUUUGGAGGAAGAGGUUUAUAUGAAACAGCCGCCUGGUUUCUCUGAUCCUGAUCGUCCUGACUAUAUCUGUCGUCUUUCCAAAGCACUAUAUGGUUUGAAGCAAGCUCCUCGUGCCUGGCAUGCCCGCCUUGCCUCUGCCCUUUGUGCUCAUGGGUUUGUGCCGUCCACUGCUGACACUUCAUUAUUUCUUCUACAGAAGCCAGAAGUCACUAUGUAUCUUUUGGUAUAUGUCGAUGAUAUUAUCCUUGUCAGCUCUUCUCAGUAUGCUGCUGAUGCUCUUGUCUGCUCUCUUGGUGCUGAUUUUGCGGUCAAAGAUCUUGGGAAGCUUCACUACUUUCUUGGAGUUGAGGUCACUUCUCGUGCUACUGGUCUUGUCCUUACGCAGAAGAAGUAUUCCUUGGAGUUGUUACAAAAAGCCGGCAUGCUGAAGUGCAAACCGACCACCACACCCAUGUCGUCUACCGACAAGAUAACAGCUGUUGAUGGUGAGCUUUUGUCUCCUGCGGAUGCCACAGAGUACAGAAGCAUUGUUGGUGGACUUCAGUACUUGACGAUCACGAGACCAGAUAUCUCUUAUGCUGUUAACAGGGUUUGUCAGUAUCUUCAGGCUCCCAGAGAUACUCAUUGGGCUGCUGUUAAACGCAUUCUUCGUUAUGUUCAGUUCACUCUGACUUUUGGUAUGCAUAUUCGGCCGACUUCCUCUCGGGUCCUUUCGGCCUUCUCUGAUGCAGAUUGGGCUGGUAGCCCAGAUGACAGGCGAUCCACGGGGGGUUAUGCAAUAUUCUUUGGCUCUAAUUUGAUCGCCUGGAGUGCUCGGAAACAGGCUACUGUGUCACGUAGCAGUACUGAAGCUGAGUACAAGGCUGUGGCUAAUGCUACUGCAGAGAUUAUUUGGGUGCAGUCUUUGCUUCAGGAGUUGGGUUUGUCUCAACCACAGCCUCCUAUUCUUUGGUGUGAUAACAUCGGUGCUACAUACCUUUCUGCAAAUCCAGAAUUUCAUGCCCGAACGAAACACAUUGAAGUUGACUAUCACUUUGUACGGGAACGUGUAUCACAGAAGCAACUCCAGAUCAAGUUUAUCUCGUCUAAGGAUCAACUUGCAGACAUCUUCACUAAGCCUUUACCACUGCCACAGUUUGAGGCUUGUAGGCGCAAUCUUACCCUUCUCAGUUCUUUAGAAAGUGGCUAA
RNAcentral lists this ribosomal RNA (4557 nucleotides) under Triticum aestivum (bread wheat). Its description in RNAcentral is "partial small subunit ribosomal RNA". The record is from RNAcentral. Lineage: Eukaryota; Viridiplantae; Streptophyta; Magnoliopsida; Poales; Poaceae.